Molecule: ribosomal RNA, 257 nt
Filed under: uncultured bacterium
Lineage: Bacteria
Description: partial 16S ribosomal RNA
Rfam family: Bacterial small subunit ribosomal RNA
Source: RNAcentral
UACGAAGGGGGGCUAGCGUUGUUCGGAUUUACUGGGCGUAAAGCGCACGUAGGCGGAUUGUUAAAGUGAGAGGUGAAAUCCCGGAGCUCAACUCCGGAACUGCCUUUCAUACUGGCAAUCUAGAGUCCGGAAGAGGUGAGUGGAACUCCUAGUGUAGAGGUGGAAUUCGUAGAUAUUAGGAAGAACACCAGUGGCGGAAGGCGGCUCACUGGUCCGGUACUGACGCUGAGGUGCGAAAGCGUGGGGGAGCAAACAGG